Molecule: microRNA precursor, 83 nt
Filed under: Notamacropus eugenii (tammar wallaby)
Lineage: Eukaryota; Metazoa; Chordata; Mammalia; Diprotodontia; Macropodidae
Description: miRNA (ENSMEUG00000017839.1)
Source: RNAcentral
GGGCAGGGCUGGGCUGGGGAGAGGGCAGGGUAAGCGCCAGGCAUCCUGUUGGUUCUAUUCUCCUUUUUCCUGUCUCCCUAUCC